CUUUACUGUAGGCUGAUACUGGGUCUAGGUAGUUCUUGUGUAGGAUAGGUGGGAGGCUAUGAAGCGGGUACGCAAGUACUCGUCGAGCCGACGUUGAAAUACCACCCUGGACCUAUUUGGAUUCUAACUUCUCACAGUGAAUCCUGGAGAAGGACAAUGUCAGUUGGGCAGUUUGACUGGGGCGGUCUCCUCCAAAAGAGUAACGGAGGAGCCCAAAGGUACCCUCAGCCUGGUUGGCAAUCAGGCAGCGAGCGUAAAGGUAGAAGGGUGCUUGACUGUGAGACUUAUAAGUCGAACAGAUACGAAAGUAGGGCUUAGUGAUCCGGCGGUGCUGGAUGGAAAGGCCGUCGCUCAUCAGAUAAAAGGUA
This 368-nucleotide ribosomal RNA is filed under the name uncultured organism. RNAcentral describes it as "bacterial LSU rRNA". It matches the Rfam family "Bacterial large subunit ribosomal RNA", at positions 2099 to 2465 of the family's 2925-position model. The record is from RNAcentral.